UUCUUCACCGGGGCGGCUCGUGGUGCUCCGCACCUCAAGCCUCCCGUUGUCGGGAGGAGUCCUAUGCAGGCUCCUUCCGGCGAAACAACAAACCCCGGCGCAACAUGCGUCAAGGAACUCCAACAGUGUUAGCACGCCCCUGCCGACCCGGAGACGGUGCUCGUGCGGCGGGUGUUGCGACGUAUGUAUAUAUCUAAAAUGACUCUCGGCAACGGAUAUCUCGGCUCUUGCAUCGAUGAAGAACGUAGCGAAAUGCGAUACUUGGUGUGAAUUGCAGAAUCCCGUGAACCAUCGAGUCUUUGAACGCAAGUUGCGCCUGAAGCCAUUAGGCCGAAGGCACGCCUGCCUGGGUGUCACACAUCGUUGCCCCAAUGCUAUUGCCUCUUACCGGGCAUCGAGCAGGGCGAAAGCUGGCUUCCCGUGAGCCUGUCUCGUGGUUGGCUGAAAUUCGAGUCUGCGAUGGAGAUCACCACGAGUUUUGGUGGUUGAGUGAAAUCUCGAGACCAUUCG
This 510-nucleotide ribosomal RNA is filed under the name Swartzia panacoco. RNAcentral describes it as "eukaryotic LSU rRNA". The stretch from base 201 to 356 matches the Rfam family "5.8S ribosomal RNA". The record is from RNAcentral. Lineage: Eukaryota; Viridiplantae; Streptophyta; Magnoliopsida; Fabales; Fabaceae.